This 468-nucleotide ribosomal RNA is filed under the name uncultured bacterium. RNAcentral describes it as "partial 16S ribosomal RNA". It matches the Rfam family "Bacterial small subunit ribosomal RNA", at positions 28 to 507 of the family's 1533-position model. The record is from RNAcentral.
GACGAACGCUGGCGGCGUGCUUAACACAUGCAAGUCGAACGGAAAGGCCCUGCUUUUGUGGGGUGCUCGAGUGGCGAACGGGUGAGUAACACGUGAGUAACCUGCCCUUGACUUUGGGAUAACUUCAGGAAACUGGGGCUAAUACCGGAUAGGAGCUCCUGCUGCAUGGUGGGGGUUGGAAAGGUUCGGCGGUUGGGGAUGGAUUCGCGGCUUAUCAGCUUGUUGGUGGGGUAGUGGCUUACCAAGGGUUUGACGGGUAGCCGGCCUGAGGGGGUGACCGGCCACAUUGGGACUGCGCUACGGCCCAGACUCCUACGGGAGGCAGCAGUGGGGAAUAUUGCACAAUGGGCGGAAGCCUGAUGCAGCAACGCCGCGUGCGGGAUGACGGCCUUCGGGUUGUAAACCGCUUUCGCCUGUGACGAAGCGUGAGUGACGGUAAUGGGUAAAGAAGCACCGGCUAACUACGUG